Molecule: ribosomal RNA, 446 nt
Filed under: uncultured bacterium
Lineage: Bacteria
Description: bacterial SSU rRNA
Rfam family: Bacterial small subunit ribosomal RNA
Source: RNAcentral
CGUCCAGACUCCUACGGGAGGCAGCAGUGGGGAAUAUUGCACAAUGGGGGAAACCCUGAUGCAGCGAUGCCGCGUGGAGGAAGAAGGUUUUCGGAUUGUAAACUCCUUUUAUCAGGGACGAUAAUGACGGUACCUGAAGAAAAAGCAUCGGCUAACUCCGUGCCAGCAGCCGCGGUAAUACGGAGGAUGCGAGCGUUAUCCGGAUUUAUUGGGUUUAAAGGGUGCGUAGGCGGAAUGCCAAGUCAGCGGUAAAAUCGCGGGGCUCAACCUCGCUCCGCCGUUGAAACUGGCGUUCUUGAGUGGGCGAGAAGUAUGCGGAAUGCGUGGUGUAGCGGUGAAAUGCAUAGAUAUCACGCAGAACUCCGAUUGCGAAGGCAGCAUACCGGCGCCCAACUGACGCUGAGGCACGAAAGCGUGGGUAUCGAACAGGAUUAGAUACCCCAGUA